This 926-nucleotide ribosomal RNA is filed under the name uncultured bacterium. RNAcentral's name for it is "bacterial SSU rRNA". It matches the Rfam family "Bacterial small subunit ribosomal RNA", at positions 1 to 917 of the family's 1533-position model. RNAcentral also lists the same sequence under 1 other name. The record is from RNAcentral.
UGGAUCCAGACUUUGAUUCUGGCUCAGGAUGAACGCUAGCUACAGGCUUAACACAUGCAAGUCGAGGGGAAACGACAUCGAAAGCUUGCUUUUGAUGGGCGUCGACCGGCGCACGGGUGAGUAACGCGUAUCCAACCUGCCCACCACUUGGGGAUAACCUUGCGAAAGUAAGACUAAUACCCAAUGACGUCUCUAGAAGACAUCUGAAAGAGAUUAAAGAUUUAUCGGUGAUGGAUGGGGAUGCGUCUGAUUAGCUUGUUGGCGGGGUAACGGCCCACCAAGGCGACGAUCAGUAGGGGUUCUGAGAGGAAGGUCCCCCACGUUGGAACUGAGACACGGUCCAAACUCCUACGGGAGGCAGCAGUGAGGAAUAUUGGUCAAUGGGCGAGAGCCUGAACCAGCCAAGUAGCGUGCAGGAUGACGGCCCUAUGGGUUGUAAACUGCUUUUAUAAGGGAAUAAAGUGAGUCUCGUGAGACUUUUUGCAUGUACCUUAUGAAUAAGGACCGGCUAAUUCCGUGCCAGCAGCCGCGGUAAUACGGAAGGUCCGGGCGUUAUCCGGAUUUAUUGGGUCUAAAGGGAGCGUAGGCCGGAGAUUAAGCGUGUUGUGAAAUGUAGACGCUCAACGUCUGCACUGCAGCGUGAACUGGUUUCCUUGAGUACGCACAAAGUGGGCGGAAUUCGUGGUAUAGCGGUGAAAUGCUUAGAUAUCACGAAGAACUCCGAUUGCGAAGGCAGCUCACUGGAGCGCAACUGACGCUGAAGCUCGAAAGUGCGGGUAUCGAACAGGAUUAGAUACCCUGGUAGUCCGCACGGUAAACGAUGGAUGCCCGCUGUUGGUCUGAAUAGGUCAGCGGCCAAGCGAAAGCAUUAAGCAUCCCACCUGGGGAGUACGCCGGCAACGGUGCAACUCAAAGGAAUUGACGGA